Molecule: ribosomal RNA, 448 nt
Filed under: uncultured bacterium
Lineage: Bacteria
Description: partial 16S ribosomal RNA
Rfam family: Bacterial small subunit ribosomal RNA
Source: RNAcentral
AACGAACGCUGGCGACAUGCCUAACACAUGCAAGUCGAACGAGAUCUUCGGGUCUAGUGGCGCACGGGUGCGUAACGCGUGGGAAUCUGCCCUUUGGUUCGGAAUAACAGUUGGAAACGACUGCUAAUACCGGAUGAUGACGAAAGUCCAAAGAUUUAUCGCCAGAGGAUGAGCCCGCGUAGGAUUAGCUAGUUGGUGUGGUAAAGGCGCACCAAGGCGACGAUCCUUAGCUGGGCUGAGAGGAUGAUCAGCCACACUGGGACUGAGACACGGCCCAGACUCCUACGGGAGGCAGCAGUGGGGAAUAUUGGACAAUGGGCGAAAGCCUGAUCCAGCAUGCCGCGUGAGUGAUGAAGGCCUUAGGGUUGUAAAGCUCUUUUACCCGGGAUGAUAAUGACAGUACCGGGAGAAUAAGCUCCGGCUAACUCCGUGCCAGCAGCCGCCGUAA